AUUAUUGAAAGAGAUUGUGAUACUCCACAUAUCAAAAUUGGGUUACUUAAUGUUAGAUCCCUCACUUCCAAGGCAGUUAUAGUCAAUGAACUAAUCACUGAUCAUAAUCUUGAUGUGAUUGGCCUGACUGAAACAUGGCUUAAGCCUGAUGAAUUUACUGUGUUAAAUGAGGCCUCACCCCCUGGUUACACUAGUGACCAUACCCCCCGUGCAUCCGGCAAAGGCGGAGGUGUUGCUAACAUUUACGAUAGCAAAUUUCAAUUUACAAAAAAAAGAAACAAUGACGUUUUCGUCUUUUGAGCUUCUAGUCAUGAAAUCUAUGCAGCCUACUCACUCACUUUUUAUAGCUACUGUUUACAGGCCUCCUGGGCCAUAUGCAGUGUUCCUUACUGAGUUCCCUGAAUUCCUAUCGGAUCUUGUAGUCAUAGCAGAUAAUAUUCUAAUUUUUGGUGACUUUAACAUUCACAUGGAAAAGUCCACAGACCCACUCCAAAAGGCUUUCGGAGCCAUUAUCGACUCAGUGGGUUUUGUCCAACAUGUCUUUGGACCUACUCACUGCCACAGUCAUACUCUGGACCUAGUUUUGUCCCAUGGAAUAAAUGUUGUGGAUCUUAAUGUUUUUCCUCAUAAUCCUGGAUUAUCGGACCACCAUUUUAUUGCGUUUACAAUUGCAACAAAUAAUCUGCUCAGACCCCAACCAAGGAGGAUUAAAAGUUGUGCUAUAAAUUCUCAGACAACCCAAAGAUUCCUUGAUGCCCUUCCAGACUCCCUCUGCCUACCCAAGGACGUCAGAGGACAAAAAUCAGUUAACCACCUAACCGAGGAACUCAAUUUAACCUUGCGCAAUACCCUAGAUGCAGUUGCACCCCUAAAAAUUAAAAACAUCUGUCAUAAGAAACUAGCUCCCUGGUAUACAGAAAAUACACGAGCUCUGAAGCAAGCUUCCAGAAAAUUGGAACGGAAAUGGCGCCACACCAAACUGGAAGUCUUCCGACUAGCUUGGAAAGACAGUACCGUGCAGUAUCGAAGAGCCCUCACUGCUGCUCGAUCAUCCUAUUUUUCCAACUUAAUUGAGGAAAAUAAGAACAAUCCGAAAUUUCUUUUUGAUACUGUCGCAAAGCUAACUAAAAAGCAGCAUUCGCAAAUGGAGGAUGGCUUUCACUUCAGCAGUAAUACAUUUAUGAACUUCUUUGAGGAAAAGAUCAUGAUCAUUAGAAAGCAAAUUACGGACUCCUCUUUAAAUCUGGGUAUUCCUCCAAAGCUCCAUUGUCCUGAGUCUGCACAACUCUGCCAGGACCUAGGAUCAAGGGAGAUACUAAAGUGUUUUAGUACUAUAUCUCUUGACACAAUGAUGAAAAUAAUCAUGGCCUCCAAACCCUCAAGCUGCAUACUGGACCCUAUUCCAACUAAACUACUGAAAGAGCUGCUUCCCGUGCUUGGCCCUCCUAUGUUGAACAUAAUAAACAGCUCUCUAUCCACCGGAUGUGUACCAAG
Salmo trutta (river trout) is the source of this 1494-nucleotide long non-coding RNA. The record is from Ensembl. NCBI's taxonomy places the organism in Eukaryota, Metazoa, Chordata, Actinopteri, Salmoniformes, Salmonidae.